AGUGAACGCUGGCGGUAGGCCUAACACAUGCAGGUCGAACGGCAGCACAGGAGAGCUUGCUCUCUGGGUGGCGAGUGGCGGACGGGUGAGGAAUACAUCGGAAUCUACUUUUUCGUGGGGGAUAACGUAGGGAAACUUACGCUAAUACCGCAUACGACCUACGGGUGAAAGCAGGGGACCUUCGGGCCUUGCGCGAUUGAAUGAGCCGAUGUCGGAUUAGCUAGUUGGCGGGGUAAAGGCCCACCAAGGCGACGAUCCGUAGCUGGUCUGAGAGGAUGAUCAGCAACACUGGAACUGAGACACGGUCCAGACUCCUACGGGAGGCAGCAGUGGGGAAUAUUGGACAAUGGGCGCAAGCCUGAUCCAGCCAUACCGCGUGGGUGAAGAAGGCCUUCGGGUUGUAAAGCCCUUUUGUUGGGAAAGAAAUCCAGCUGGCUAAUACCCGGUUGGGAUGACGGUACCCAAAGAAUAAGCACCGGCUAACUUCGUGCCAGCAGCCGCCGUCA
Molecule: ribosomal RNA, 506 nt
Filed under: uncultured bacterium
Lineage: Bacteria
Description: partial 16S ribosomal RNA
Rfam family: Bacterial small subunit ribosomal RNA
Source: RNAcentral